UGGGGAAUCAUGGUCAAUGGGCGAAAGCCUGAACCUGCGACGCCGCGUGAGUGAUGAAGGUCGUAAGAUCGUAAAACUCUUUUCAGGGAUCUUAAAGCCUGUCUGUCAACAACAGGCAGGUCUGACUCUCCCUGGAAGAAGCCCCAGCCAACUACGUGCCAGCAGCUGCGGUAAUACGUAGGGGGCAAGCGUUGUCCGGAUUUACUGGGCGUAAAGCGCACGUAGGAGGACUGAAAAGUUGGAGGUGAAAUCCCAGGGCUCAACCUUGGAACUGCCUUCAAAACUAUCAGUCUGGAGUUCGAGAGAGGUGAGUGGAAUUCCGAGUGUAGAGGUGAAAUCCGUAGAUAUUCGGAGGAACACCAGUGGCGAAAGCGGCCUCCUGGACCAUUCCUGACACUCAGACGCGAAAGCUAGGGUAGCAAACA
RNAcentral lists this ribosomal RNA (425 nucleotides) under uncultured prokaryote. RNAcentral's name for it is "bacterial SSU rRNA". It matches the Rfam family "Bacterial small subunit ribosomal RNA", at positions 355 to 774 of the family's 1533-position model. The record is from RNAcentral.